RNAcentral lists this ribosomal RNA (216 nucleotides) under Glomeromycotina sp. RNAcentral describes it as "partial small subunit ribosomal RNA". The stretch from base 40 to 216 matches the Rfam family "Eukaryotic small subunit ribosomal RNA", at positions 686 to 864 of the family's 1831-position model. The record is from RNAcentral. Lineage: Eukaryota; Fungi; Glomeromycota.
AGGUCAGUAGGUUGGUCGUGCCACCGGUACGUACUGGUCUCACUGAUUCCUCCUUCCUGAAGAACCGUAAUGCCAUUAAUUUGGUGUUGCGGGGAAACAGGACUGUUACUUUGAAAAAAUUAGAGUGUUUAAAGCAAGCUAACGCUUGAAUACAUUAGCAUGGAAUAAUGAAAUAGGACGACCGAUCCUAUUUUGUUGGUUUCUAGGAUUGACGUA